RNAcentral lists this small nucleolar RNA (128 nucleotides) under Moschus moschiferus (Siberian musk deer). RNAcentral's name for it is "Small nucleolar RNA SNORA72 (ENSMMSG00000010561.1)". It matches the Rfam family "Small nucleolar RNA SNORA72". From Rfam's summary of the family: U72 is a member of the H/ACA class of snoRNAs. The snoRNA gene is located in intron 4 of the ribosomal L30 protein gene in human, mouse and chicken. The record is from Rfam by way of RNAcentral. Lineage: Eukaryota; Metazoa; Chordata; Mammalia; Artiodactyla; Moschidae.
AGGCAAGAGUACUGGAGUGGGUUGCCAUUGCCUAGGGCAGACUAAACAUUUGCUACACUGAGACCAUAUUUGUGUCUCUAGACCUAGUUCUCUCCUUAGUUCUGGUUUUAUAAAUGCUGGUAGUAAAU